CUCCCACAUAGCUGGCUCUGCAUGAAUUACUCUUUCUCUAUUGCAAUUCCCCUGUCUUGAGAAAUCGGCUGUGUCUAGGCCGCGGACAAAGUGAACCCAUUGGGAGGUUACAAUAGAAUGAAGAAGGACCUCCUCCAUCUCUACCCCUACCUCACCCCUGUCCUGGGGAUUUCUAGGCAGAGCUGUCAGUGACCUGUGGAGUAGGGAGAUACACAGGCCUGCAACAGCAGAGAGACCUCACUGGCCCACAUGGCUGCCUGCCUUGAGUAAGGAACAGUCUUUAAGACUGGGAACAAUAAAUCUUCAAAAUACACUCUCCAGGAAAAGUUAAAUGGCAAGAAUUAUUGGGAAGAAAAUCAAUUUCAGACAGGCAGGCCUCAUGAAGUUUGCAAUAUCAUGAACUGGCUACAGAGGAAGAAGUGAAGAUGUGAGUCAGCCUGGAGUUCAUCCCACUUCAACUUCAAUUAUCUUUGGGACGUGGACAACAGCCUCGGCAGCUAAAAGAAGAAAGUGCAGGGGUGGAAUAAGAAACUUGAUCAGAGCAGUUAAAAUCCAUGAUCCUUCUGGGGUGAAUGGCAGAGGAAACUGACCAGAGGCAGACAAAGGUCUUGUUGAGUAGUUUAAAUGGCCCAUCUGAAGCCAAAGACCAUUAAAAUGAUCCUGGUACCAAGAA
This 673-nucleotide long non-coding RNA is filed under the name Homo sapiens (human). RNAcentral describes it as "HSALNT0114696". Lineage: Eukaryota; Metazoa; Chordata; Mammalia; Primates; Hominidae. The record is from RNAcentral.